GGCUAUAGCUCAGUGGUAGAGCACUUGCCUCAAAUGUGUGAGGCACUGGGUUCCAUCCUCAGCGCCA
This 67-nucleotide transfer RNA is filed under the name Marmota monax (woodchuck). RNAcentral describes it as "tRNA.Leu". Lineage: Eukaryota; Metazoa; Chordata; Mammalia; Rodentia; Sciuridae. The record is from RNAcentral.